RNAcentral lists this long non-coding RNA (639 nucleotides) under Scleropages formosus (Asian bonytongue). RNAcentral describes it as "lncRNA (ENSSFOG00015025875.1)". The record is from RNAcentral. Lineage: Eukaryota; Metazoa; Chordata; Actinopteri; Osteoglossiformes; Osteoglossidae.
CUUUCUCUUUUUCCUAGUGACAAAUACAACAUGUAACUCCACUGCAGAUGCCACUUGCUCCUGCUUGGAAGGGUAUUUGUGUGCCAACGAGCAGUGCUCAAAAUGCAAGAAGAUGCCUGUGUGUGGCAGAGGGGAGGAGCUGCAGAAGCAAGGAUCGUUUGACUAUCAUUACACAUGUGUUCAAUGCCCCAACAAUACCUACUCGGACACCGUAGGAGGAAUCUGCAAGCAGCUAGCACAGUGUAAUCAGCUUGGACUGCAAGUAAUUUCACCUGGCAACAGCACCCACAAUACCAAAUGCGGGUGUUCAAGACAUGAAACGAACCGCUAUGAGAUUCCAGCAGUUCACCUCACCGUGAUCAUCUUGCUCCUCUUCAUUCUGCAUUUGUGCAGCUGCCUGAUGGGACAAUACUGCAGACAUAACAAGCAGAUUGGAUCCAUGAUGCCAGCUGCGGGUCGGGCAGACAGAAGGUGCCGCUGCCCACUGUCGGAGGAAGAGAAAGGUGACUUCCCUGGUCAGCUGAUCGACAACAAGAGCAACUCUAACUACGAGCCUUCCUCCUUUGAACAGAGCCAAAAAUCGAUGUUGUGACCCCUAACUCUUUCCCCAAGGAAAUAAUAAAAAAAAAUCAUCAGACA